Long non-coding RNA from Osmerus eperlanus (European smelt), 1031 nucleotides. RefSeq lists it as uncharacterized. The record is from RefSeq and is a predicted model, not a curated record. The transcript has 3 exons. Lineage: Eukaryota; Metazoa; Chordata; Actinopteri; Osmeriformes; Osmeridae.
AGAGGCCUUCACUGGUAAGAUCAUCAGAGGGUGAAGAUCGCUCCUGUUAUAAAAGUAUGGAAAGACUCUCUCAGUGAAGAUCCUCAGACAGGAAGAGGUGUCGGUAGGCAGUGUUGGGGUCCAGAGUCACAGGAGCUGAGGAGAGAGAUCAGACUCUGAAGGUCAGGUUGCCCAGGUGUUUGGCCACGUCUAUCAGCGUUCCUGAGACCAGCUGUGGAUCCGGCAGAGUGGGAUUGGCUCUGGAAGAAAAUUCUGGAAUCAGAGCUGCUGUGGGGUUGGGUUCACAACCACAGAGAAGAGAGGGGCAAGAGGCAGGUGACCUACCUGUUCACUGUGUCCUUGUAGUUCUGUGGAGAUACAGAAGAUGAAGUUAGACACUCAUAAACACACCCAGCCAGACAUCCCAUAUGAACUUAGAGAGAUCAGUCCUGACCUGCAGGAAUGAGAAGUCUUCAGCUCUCAGCUCCUCCUCUAUGGCUCUGAUUGUGUGUGAAAGUGUUGAUAUCUCUCUGCUCAGCCCCUCAAUCUUCUCUUUCAUCAUCUGACUCUUCUGCUUCUCCUCCUUCCUCACUGCAGCUAUCCUGGCCUCCUCUUCCUCUUGUAGAAACUGGUGAAGCUUCUUAAACUCCUCCUUAAUAUGGCUCUCUGUGUGCUGGGUCUGGAUCUGGAGACAUGGGGGUUAAUACAGGGGUUUAGGUGACCAGAGUUUUCAAUGUAAAAAUGGUUUCAUAUUAUUUUAUUAAUAAAUAUUUUUACCUUAAUGUGAUUUGCUGCUUUAGAACAGGCUCGUUUAACUACAUAAAAGACCUUCAGCUUCUCCUUUAAGGACUUCAGAACAGGUUGGAGUUCCUCCUGGAAUGAAACAAAACAUGUCAGGAGUAAAAGUUGUUCAUCCUCUUAUUUGACCAGCUGGAUCUGAGACGUCUCUCUAACAAAACUUAGUAGAAGAAAUGAGAAUCGAAGCAGAGAAACAAUAAACCAUUAACACUUCAAAAAAUAGAAAAAUAUAAAUCAUAUUAACAAACACUAUA